Molecule: ribosomal RNA, 857 nt
Filed under: uncultured bacterium
Lineage: Bacteria
Description: bacterial SSU rRNA
Rfam family: Bacterial small subunit ribosomal RNA
Source: RNAcentral
GGGCUCAGGAUGAACGCGGGCGGCGUGCCUAAUACAUGCAAGUCGAACGAGGUGCUUUUGUAGCAAUACGAGAGUAUCCUAGUGGCGAACGGGUGAGUAACGCGUUGGUGACCUACCCCAAAGUGUGGGAUAACAGUCCGAAAGGAUUGCUAAUACCGCAUGUGGUCUUCGGAUUUAGAAACUGAUGACUAAAGGAGCAAUUCGCUUUGGGAGGGACCUGCGUCCCAUCAGCUAGUUGGUGAGGUAACGGCUCACCAAGGCGACGACGGGUAGGGGACCUGAGAGGGUGGCCCCCCACAAUGGAACUGAAACACGGUCCAUACACCUACGGGUGGCAGCAGUAGGGAAUAUUGCUCAAUGGGCGAAAGCCUGAAGCAGCAACGCCGCGUGUGCGAUGAAGGCCUUCGGGUCGUAAAGCACUUUUCUGCGAGAUGAGAAAGGACAGUAUCGUAGGAAUAAGUCUCGGCUAACUACGUGCCAGCAGCCGCGGUAAAACGUAGGAGGCAAGCGUUAUCCGGAUUCACUGGGCGUAAAGCGCGUGCAGGCGGUGCGGUAAGUUGGGCGUGAAAUCUCCCGGCUCAACUGGGAUAGGUCGUCCAAUACUACCGUACUUGAGAGCAGAAGAGGAAAAUGGAAUUCCCGGUGUAGUGGUGAAAUGCGUAGAUAUCGGGAGGAACACCAGUGGCGAAGGCGAUUUUCUGGUCUGUUUCUGACGCUCAGACGCGACAGCUAGGGUAGUAAACGGGAUUAGAGACCCCGGUAAUCCUAGCCGUAAACGAUGUGAACUUGGCGUUGGUGGGUUAAACUCCAUCAGUGCCGUAGCAAACGCGAUAAGUUCACCGCCUGGGGACUACGGC